This 2681-nucleotide long non-coding RNA is filed under the name Hordeum vulgare. RNAcentral describes it as "long non-coding RNA (HVUL_LNC000218)". The record is from RNAcentral. Lineage: Eukaryota; Viridiplantae; Streptophyta; Magnoliopsida; Poales; Poaceae.
GGCCGUUGCGCAACCCUUCCAUUUUACUCCUUCCAUCUCGAUUUAUAAGUGCACCACGUACUUGAUGAUUUUAAUAUAAUAUAUAAACAAUACAAAGUCUGCCAUCAAUUUCAUAUUUUUUUAUGAUAGAUUAUUUAUAUAUUAAUGGUCUAAGUCAUGAUUAAAACAAAAAUAAAUUCUCCCACAAAAAUAUUUAAAUAUGUGCACGCAUGGAUGAUGAGCUGGAUGGAAGUAGUAGCCCAACAAGUCAAACUGUUCUGCCCGCCCCAUCUGAAAGAGCCUUCCUCCAAAGUUGUCAGAAUGGUGAUUCUUUUUCUACCAUUUUAUGACUUUUACUCCCUAGGUACCGAUUUAUUUGUGGUUGGGGGUUUUCCCUACAAAAUUCCCACCGAAGGAUUAUUUUGGUUGUUGCCUAAACUACCCUCCCACCUCUCAUCCACUCUCUCGUGCACAGCAGCUCAGUCGCACGCUCAGCCGCACAGCCGACUGUGUCGCCGGAGCCUCUCCCUCGCCCUCGUCGCCUUCUCCCUGACGCCCCCGUAGUCGGCGCCCGCGUGGACUCCUCUCUGUCAGCCCCCGUUGUCGUCGCCCGCGUGGACUCCUCUCUGUCGCCCCCGCGCCGUCGCACUUUCCGGAGGUGGAUCCGAAGCGCGGCGGCUCGAUCUACAUAGCCAGCAGCUACGGAACGCCGCUCUCCCCCUGCUCGAUCUACCCUGCUCCGACUGCUUCAGCAGGCCAAGAAACCAUAAUGCCUCGGCAUCUCCAUCGACCGUCUCAGGAAGCGCUACCUCGUCUGGCUCCCGCAUAGCUGAUGGUAAGCCCCUCCUUUGCUCUCUUGGCCUGAUUGCUUGCUUGCGAGCCUUCCUCUAUUAGGUAUCUCUGCAAGCCAACAAAGUAAAUCCAUCAAUGCAACUAGUACUCUGAAUCCAUCAAUGCAACUAGUACUCUAAAUUUGGAGUGCCAGGAGUAGUACUCUGAAUCCAUCAAUGCAACUAAAUCCAUCAAUGUGAAUCAAGUUGUGACAGGUAUCUCUGCAUGCUUAAUUCACUCAAUUUUUUUGCAGUAGGACUAGUUGCUGGAAAUUUACUGAACUUUGUUUCCCGUGGAUGCACUGAAUUUAACAGAAAGAGUACUCCAGGAGUACAUGGAGUUGAUACACUGAAUUUUGUUUCCAGUAGAUGCACUCUGAUGAUCUCUGCAUCACCACAAAAGUGCAGAUACAAAAGCCAGAUGUUUUGCUUAUUAUACUGAACUUUUCCUGAGUAAGUCAUAUGAUUUGCUUUUUCUAUCUUGUUAGGUGAGUAAACACUAAAUCAGUGUUCAGUAAAUGGCUGCUCCAAAUGUUUAGUAAAUGGAUACUCCAAAUGUUCAGUAAAUGGCUGCUCCAAAUCAUUUGGUGCCUGAUUUGGACGGCUACCGUGUGCAGCAGCUGCUUGCUUGUGUGUGCAAAUCAUUCCAAUCAUCAGUGUCGCUUCAAAUCAUUAUUACUGAGUGCAGCUGCUCAGCCCCAUCCGGGAUAAUACUGAAUUUCUUAGCAUUACAGUACUUGCUGGAAAUCAUUCCUGUAAUUACAGUAUGGUGGUCAGCUUCAAGCAUUAUUACUGUAAUUGCUGCAAAUCAUCAUUGUUCAAAUCAUUAGUCAGAUUCAAUAUAAUCUUUAGGAUUAGUCAAUUCUUUGGAGUAAAUUACAGUACGGUGAUGUUCAAUAUGAAUUGGAGUAAAUUACAGUACGGUGAUGUUCAAUAUGAAUUGGAGUAAAUUGCUAGAGUAGUGUACUGCUGCUGUAGUUUCUCUCUUCUCAUCUCUCUCUUCUCACUUCCCUGAAAGCUCUAUUAGGUAUCUAGUGUAGGAGUAAGAGUGGCUAGGAUUAAUUUCUCUCUUCUCACCUCUCAUUUUCUUCCUCUUUCUCUUCUCUUUUCAAAGCACUUUUUUGAAUUUUAAUUCAUCUGUGUGCAUACAAAUUCAGAAGAGUGCUUUGAAAAGCACUUAACUGAAUUUUAAUGCACAUAGGUGCAUAAAAAAUCAGAGAACUGCUUUGAAAAGCACUUUUUCAAUUUUAGUUCACCGAUGUGCAUACAAAUUCAGAAAAGUGCUUUGAAAAGCACUUAACUGAAUUUUAAUGCAUCUAUGUGCAUACAAACUGAGAGAAGUUCUUUGAAAAGCACUUAACUGUAGUGCCUGGUUUGAGGAUAAUAAUCCAGUUAGUUUCCCCUGCCGUUGGUCAUUAAGAGUAUUUGGAAUAAAAAGGGAGUAGCUCACCUACUGUUGAAUUUGCUUUGUCAAUAUUUCUGCUUAUUUGUCAAUCUUGCUUUUGUUUUCAUAGGUGAAGAGAUGGACAGUGACCAAUCCAAGCACUUCUGAACUCUUGGAGUCGCUACAACUGACGGCUAGAGGUGCGGGCGGCUGGAGGUGCUGGUACAACGGGCGGUAGGAGGACGAUCAAGAUUCGUGAGACUAUAGGUGCGGGCGGCUGGAGGUGUGGGCACCUAUGCUCCUACAACAGGGCCAUGGGGCGCGACGGGCAGAAGCUGCAAGGGGCGGCUGGAGGACGAGCAGGACUCGCCGACAGCUGGAGGUGCCGGCUCGACGGGAAGGAGCCACGAGGCUGUAGGGGCGUCGGCGACUGGAGGUGCGGGCUCAAGGUGUAGGGGCGUCGACGACUGGAGGUGCGGGCUCGGGGG